Molecule: long non-coding RNA, 149 nt
Organism: Amblyraja radiata (thorny skate)
Lineage: Eukaryota; Metazoa; Chordata; Chondrichthyes; Rajiformes; Rajidae
Exons: 2
Source: RefSeq, a predicted model, not a curated record
CUCCACUCCAACACAAACAAGUGAAAGGACUACUGAUAUCAGUUCCACAACUUCUGGAAUUAGUCCAUCAUCAACCUCAACAUCACUCACGUCAGGGACAUCGAGCACAGAAGUAUCUACAACCACCGAGAGCUCCACUCCAACACAAA